UUUUUGCGUUAGGGAUAGAGGUGGUAUCCUUUUUUAAUUUUAGCGAUAGCAAAAAUUUAAAAAGAUAUAACGGAUAGCCCGACCUUUG
Molecule: small RNA, 88 nt
Filed under: Polaribacter atrinae
Lineage: Bacteria; Pseudomonadati; Bacteroidota; Flavobacteriia; Flavobacteriales; Flavobacteriaceae
Description: Flavo-1 RNA
Rfam family: Flavo-1 RNA
Source: Rfam by way of RNAcentral